GACGAACGCUGGCGGCGUGCUUAACACAUGCAAGUCGAACGGAAAGGCCCUGCUUUUGUGGGGUGCUCGAGUGGCGAACGGGUGAGUAACACGUGAGUAACCUGCCCUUGACUUUGGGAUAACUUCAGGAAACUGGGGCUAAUACCGGAUAGGAGCUCCUGCUGCAUGGUGGGGGUUGGAAAGUUUCGGCGGUUGGGGAUGGACUCGCGGCUUAUCAGCUUGUUGGUGGGGUAGUGGCUUACCAAGGCUUUGACGGGUAGCCGGCCUGAGAGGGUGACCGGCCACAUUGGGACUGAGAUACGGCCCAGACUCCUACGGGAGGCAGCAGUGGGGAAUAUUGCACAAUGGGCGGAAGCCUGAUGCAGCAACGCCGCGUGCGGGAUGACGGCCUUCGGGUUGUAAACCGCUUUCGCCUGUGACGAAGCGUGAGUGACGGUAAUGGGUAAAGAAGCACCGGCUAACUACGUGCCAGCAGCCGCGGUGAUACGUAGGGUGCGAGCGUUGUCCGGAUUUAUUGGGCGUAAAGGGCUCGUAGGUGGUUGAUCGCGUCGGAAGUGUAAUCUUGGGGCUUAACCCUGAGCGUGCUUUCGAUACGGGUUGACUUGAGGAAGGUAGGGGAGAAUGGAAUUCCUGGUGGAGCGGUGGAAUGCGCAGAUAUCAGGAGGAACACCAGUGGCGAAGGCGGUUCUCUGGGCCUUUCCUGACGCUGAGGAGCGAAAGCGUGGGGAGCGAACAGGCUUAGAUACCCUGGUAGUCCACGCUGUAAACGGUGGGUACUAGGUGUGGGGUCCAUUCCACGGGUUCCGUGCCGUAGCUAACGCUUUAAGUACCCCGCCUGGGGAGUACGGCCGCAAGGCUAAAACUCAAAGGAAUUGACGGGGCCCCGCACAAGCGGCGGAGCAUGCGGAUUAAUUCGAUGCAACGCGUAGAACCUUACCUGGGUUUGACAUGGAUCGGGAGUGCUCAGAGAUGGGUGUGCCUCUUUUGGGGUCGGUUCACAGGUGGUGCAUGCCUGUCGUCAGCUCGUGUCGUGAGAUGUUGGGUUAAGUCCCGCAACGAGCGCAACCCUUGUUCACUGUUGCCAGCACGUUAUGGUGGGGACUCAGUGGAGACCGCCGGGGUCAACUCGGAGGAAGGUGGGGAUGACGUCAAGUCACCAUGCCCCUUAUGUCCAGGGCUUCACGCAUGCUACAAUGGCUGGUACAGAGAGUGGCGAGCCUGUGAGGGUGAGCGAAUCUCGGAAAGCCGGUCUCAGUUCGGAUUGGGGUCUGCAACUCGACCUCAUGAAGUCGGAGUCGCUAGUAAUCGCAGAUCAGCAACGCUGCGGUGAAUACGUUCCCGGGGCU
RNAcentral lists this ribosomal RNA (1346 nucleotides) under uncultured bacterium. RNAcentral's name for it is "partial 16S ribosomal RNA". It matches the Rfam family "Bacterial small subunit ribosomal RNA", at positions 28 to 1381 of the family's 1533-position model. The record is from RNAcentral.